CUUGGUCAUUUAGAGGAAGUAAAAGUCGUAACAAGGUCUCCGUAGGUGAACCUGCGGAGGGAUCAUUGAAGAGUUAGGGCCUCCGGCCCGACCUCCAACCCUUUGUACUUGAUACCAUGUUGCCUCGGGGGCGACCCUGCCGUCCGCGGUCUGGGGCCUCCGGUGGACCACUCAACCCUGCAUCUUUGCGUCUGAGUAAAUUUAUAAAUUAAACAAAACUUUCAACAACGGAUCUCUUGGUUCUGGCAUCGAUGAAGAACGCAG
RNAcentral lists this ribosomal RNA (264 nucleotides) under Capnobotryella sp. 15a. Its description in RNAcentral is "partial 18S ribosomal RNA". The stretch from base 1 to 68 matches the Rfam family "Eukaryotic small subunit ribosomal RNA", at positions 1764 to 1831 of the family's 1831-position model. Lineage: Eukaryota; Fungi; Ascomycota; Dothideomycetes; Mycosphaerellales; Teratosphaeriaceae. The record is from RNAcentral.